GUUUUCGUAGUGUAGUGGUUAUCACGUUUGCCUCACACGCGAAAGGCCCCUGGUUCGAACCCGGGCGAAAACA
Molecule: transfer RNA, 73 nt
Filed under: Saccoglossus kowalevskii
Lineage: Eukaryota; Metazoa; Hemichordata; Enteropneusta; Harrimaniidae
Description: tRNA-Val
Rfam family: tRNA
About the family: Transfer RNA (tRNA) molecules are approximately 80 nucleotides in length.
Source: RNAcentral